CGGGGCGUGUUUUGCGCGGGGAGGCGAACCAACCGAGCUGCACAAGCGGUGUUGAGCAACACCGGUUAUAAAUUUGCAACCACACAUAGCACACGCACUCACACAGACGCACAGCACGGCACGCACGCACACGCUCACUGUCCGGGGGAGGGCAAUAUCAAAAAGGGGGGAUUGCCAGAUGGCCGGAAACUUGGCGUCUCUGCACCCAAGCUUACCGACCACCAGCCAGCAGCAACCGGGAUGCUGCUUCACUUGGUCUGCCCGGUUUGGCUUCUCGCCACCACACACCGGGCAGAAACCACCCCCCCGGACCAGCAACCAACCUGAAUCAACACAGCACUUGCACCCCAACAAAGAGGAAAGGCCCCCAUGUCGUCCGCCAAAGCAACAAACGCUGAAAGAAAGGAGAGGGGUGGGCGGGCGGGCAACAAAAGAGAGCGCCAGCAAGCGCACGCGGCCUCCGAACCAGGAACUCGAUAGCUUUCAGAAGCACGGCGGCAUAAGUUGCUCGCUCAUCAGCUACCGUACGCAAACGUAACUUAAUAAAACAAACCACACAGAAAGACAGCAUUUGAGACCUCGAUGUGAUGCAUGCGGCCUUCAGAGCGACACACGAAACCCCGGGCCCUGCACUUCUUACCCCCUGCAACUGAACCACCUCCCGCUCAAACACUGCUCCCUACUUCAAAACUUGUUUUAAGCUCCGGUCAGUCGGCAAGCUCCUGGAGCCUUCGCUUAAAACAGCCCUUUGAGAUACGGGGCGUGUUUUGCGCGGGGAGGCGAACCAACCGAGCUGCACAAGCGGUGUUGAGCAACACCGGUUAUAAAUUUGCAACCACACAUAGCACACGCACUCACACAGACGCACAGCACGGCACGCACGCACACGCUCACUGUCCGGGGGAGGGCAAUAUCAAAAAGGGGGGAUUGCCAGAUGGCCGGAAACUUGGCGUCUCUGCACCCAAGCUUACCGACCACCAGCCAGCAGCAACCGGGAUGCUGCUUCACUUGGUCUGCCCGGUUUGGCUUCUCGCCACCACACACCGGGCAGAAACCACCCCCCUCACCAGUUCCCUCUCAUUCACCCCAAAAGCAAUUACACUGCGCACAUCAUGCGUUUGGUUUGUGCGACACCGCUUCUGUGGAACACGAACACACCCGGACACUAGCACACAGACGCUCCCCCGGCAGACCGGAAAAACCAUGGCGGGGAGCAUACGCCCGUCCGCCAUGCCGUCUGCCGGCCUGACCCCCCACACCAGUUCCUGCGUACUGCAUUGCUGCUUCUGCAUGGCUGCUCCGGCGCCGCCGCUCCUGUGGGAUGCCCCUUCCCGAACCGCUGCGGCAGUGAGCACCGCCGCAGCCGCAGCCAUCCGUUCGGCCUUCCCCCAUGUCUUCCGCGCCGCAGCUGCGGCAGUGAGCACCGCCGCAGCUAUGCACUGCCUCGGCUCCUCGCCUAUCCCUGUACCCUCUCCCCAUGUCCCCAAAACCAAAGCUGCGGCAGUGAGCACCGCCGCAGCUAAGCACCGCCCCCCCGCUGCAGCAACGCAUCGCCGCCCGCGCUGAUCCCGGUACGCUGUUGGUCUGCGGCCGCAUAUUCACGUCAAGCUAUCCGUCAUUCGUCGGCAGUUGGUCACCCGGAUGCUAAGCCGGGGGUGUUCGUCACCCAGACGACUUCCUGCUGGGGGAGUUUGUCGCCCAGACUCCUCCUGGGGGUCCAGUCACCCUGGGCGGGGGAGUUCGUCACCCAGACUCCUCCUGGGAGAGUUCGUCACCCAGACUCCUCCUGGGAGAGUUCGUCACCCAGACUCCUCCUGGGAGAGUUCGUCACCCAGACUCCUCCUGGGAGAGUUCGUCACCCAGACUCCUCCUGGGCCUGCCGCGGCCGCAGACUACAUGAUCUGUCGACGCGGUUUCGCCCGCUGCGGCUGGUGCUGCUGACCACUCCGUGCCGGAUCUCUCUCAAACGAUAGUGCUCUCGCAUUUUCUGGCUGGUACUCGGCCUGCUGCUGCGCUCGCCUGCUUUGAUCCCCAGCUCGCCCUUGACCUGCAUUCAAAACGCCAAAGGGCCUCGCCAGCAGUGCAUGCCUCACAUCUUACCAGUCAACAAAAGAGAGCGCCAGCAAGCGCACGCGGCCUCCGAACCAGGAACUCGAUAGCUUUCAGAAGCACGGCGGCAUAAGUUGCUCGCUCAUCAGCUACCGUACGCAAACGUAACUUAAUAAAACAAACCACACAGAAAGACAGCAUUUGAGACCUCGAUGUGAUGCAUGCGGCCUUCAGAGCGACACACGAAACCCCGGGCCCUGCACUUCUUACCCCCUGCAACUGAACCACCUCCCGCUCAAACACUGCUCCCUACUUCAAAACUUGUUUUAAGCUCCGGUCAGUCGGCAAGCUCCUGGAGCCUUCGCUUAAAACAGCCCUUACCGCAGUCGACGGUGUAUUCAUGCUCCCGGGGUCUACCGUCUUGAUUGAGCUUGUUGUGUCGCCCUGGAGCUGAAAUUGGGCAUUUUGUGAAGGCUGCCUGGACACACGCGUUGCCCCGUCUGACACGUCGCUCAUCUCGUUCCCCCUUCCCUUCUUAA
Molecule: long non-coding RNA, 2588 nt
Filed under: Chlamydomonas reinhardtii
Lineage: Eukaryota; Viridiplantae; Chlorophyta; Chlorophyceae; Chlamydomonadales; Chlamydomonadaceae
Description: long non-coding RNA (CREI_LNC000958)
Source: RNAcentral